Molecule: ribosomal RNA, 434 nt
Filed under: uncultured bacterium
Lineage: Bacteria
Description: partial 16S ribosomal RNA
Rfam family: Bacterial small subunit ribosomal RNA
Source: RNAcentral
GAGCGAACGCUGGCGGCAGGCCUAACACAUGCAAGUCGAACGAACUCUUCGGAGUUCGUGGCGGACGGGUGAGUAACACGUGGGAACGUGCCUUUAGGUUCGGAAUAACUCAGGGAAACUUGUGCUAAUACCGAAUGUGCCCUUCGGGGGAAAGAUUUAUCGCCUUUAGAGCGGCCCGCGUCUGAUUAGCUAGUUGGUGAGGUAAAGGCUCACCAAGGCGACGAUCAGUAGCUGGUCUGAGAGGAUGAUCAGCCACAUUGGGACUGAGACACGGCCCAAACUCCUACGGGAGGCAGCAGUGGGGAAUCUUGCGCAAUGGGCGAAAGCCUGACGCAGCCAUGCCGCGUGAAUGAUGAAGGUCUUAGGAUUGUAAAAUUCUUUCACCGGGGACGAUAAUGACGGUACCCGGAGAAGAAGCCCCGGCUAACUUCGUG